UACGUAGGGACCGAGCGUUGUCCGGAUUCAUUGGGCGUAAAGAGCUCGUAGGCGGCUGUUCAAGUCGAACGUGAAAACUCGGAGCUCAACUCCGAGCCUGCGUUCGAUACUGGACGGCUAGAGUCUGGUAGGGGGAUCUGGAAUUCCUGGUGUAGCGGUGGAAUGCGUAGAGAUCCGGAAGAACACCGGAGGCGAAGGCGGCUUGCUGGGCGUGAUCUGACGCUGAGGCGCGAAAGCGUGGGGAGCGAACAGG
This 253-nucleotide ribosomal RNA is filed under the name uncultured bacterium. RNAcentral describes it as "partial 16S ribosomal RNA". It matches the Rfam family "Bacterial small subunit ribosomal RNA", at positions 524 to 776 of the family's 1533-position model. The record is from RNAcentral.